This 1920-nucleotide long non-coding RNA is filed under the name Sus scrofa (pig). RNAcentral describes it as "lncRNA (ENSSSCG00005019784.1, ENSSSCG00150046254.1, ENSSSCG00165036805.1)". The record is from RNAcentral. Lineage: Eukaryota; Metazoa; Chordata; Mammalia; Artiodactyla; Suidae.
ACGCAUGUCAUAUGGAAAGCCAGCCUCUGCCCACAGCCAAAGCCCACCUCUCGGCUGCGGCCCGUCCCUCUUCAGACCGAGUGCCAGCAGCCUCCCCCACCGCCGCCUGCAGCCGGGCCUCUGCCCCAGGAGCCACUGUACCACACGGGGGCCCAGGGACCCCACAUCUGCUAGGCGGGCUGUCAGCACAGCCCUGCAUCCCACCAGUGACCUCCAGCCCUGGACACUGAGCUCCCCAGGGGCCGCUGAGAAGGGCCAGCGCUGCUCCGACCUGGGGCCUCGUGGAGAUGCUGCAGGUUCAAGACCCUGGAGGAGACGGUGCCAUUCCGCCCAGGGGGGAAGGUGACCAGGACUUUGGGGGCGGUGAGGGUGGAACGGGACCUCAAGGACUCAGCCUUGGACACAGGCGUCUGUGCAGGCUCAGCUGAAAUGACGGGCUAGUGGCCUGAGGGGCAGGGCCCUCCGAGGGCCUGGUCACCUCUGUAAGGACCUGCCUCCUGCAGUGCAGCCGCCCACCGGCCUGGGGACAGGCCCAUGGACAGGCACCCCCGCCCUGUGGUCUGUCAGCUCCCCCGAGGCCCAGACAUCACCAGGCAGUGCACGCGGAGCUGGUGCCCCCUCUGCGCCCGCUGUGCUCUCGGCCCUCCCCUGGCGGACCUGGCUGGACGUGGUGCUGGGAAGUGAGGACCUCAUGGUGCCCCCCAGGCCAGCCGAGCUCGUUCACCUCCAGGAGCAGGUGUUUGUGUCUGAACAUGCACACACACACACACACGUGCACACACGAGCACAUGGGUGAGAUCACGCGUGUGUGCAUGCGUGAACCCACAGAUGUAGAUCACACACAUAUGCACGCAUGAGCGCAAGGGUGAGAUCUCCCACACGUGCACGUGUGAGCCCAUGGCUGCAGGUGCUUGCACAUCCAUGUGCACGUGUGACACACGACAGGUACACACACAGGAGGUGGGUCCCACAGGCAUCGCCAUCAGUGGGGAUGGAGGCACAGCAGGGAACGUGGAGCCGGGCAGUACUGGCCCUGGAGGAGCUGACCCUUGGGAGGGAGUCUAAGGGGGCUUCCUGGAGGAGGCGGCCCGCCGUGAGUCUGGAGAGAGGGCUGGAGCCCUCACGUGGGGGCUUGGGGGGACGGGCUGGGCUGUUGUUAGCUUGCCGUCUUGUUGGUGUGGAGCAGGGGGGCCCGUGAGAAAGGGCGUCCAAAGGGCACUUGGAGGAAUACACCAUAGCUGGCUAGGUCGGCCCGCGGCCGAGCGCGUCCUGCCUACAGCCUGUCUAUACAGCCUGAGAUCUGGAAAGGCAUUUACGUGCUAAAAUGGUUGGAAAAACCAAAAAAGGAAGACUGUCUUGUGACACAUGAACACGGCCGUGUCCCGUGAGGUCUGGUCGGAGCAGGCACGUCCAGCGUCCACGUACUGCGUGUGGCCAGCUUCCCCACGGCCGCAGAGCAGGGGUGGAGAGCGGUGGCCGCAGGGGCCUGGAGACCCCCCACGUGGCCCUUGACGGACGUCUGCCGACUGGGGACCUAAGCGCCUCCGUUUAAGGAUCAUCAGAACGCGUGUCCGAGCGGACAGAACAUGGCCUCUGUUGAGGAGAAAAUGCACUGCAAACCCCCGGUGGGUUUCGUCGAGAGAAAACGGAAAGAAAGGCUGGAAAAGGCACUGUGGGAGCUCCCGUCGGGGCGCAGCGGAAACCAAUCUGACCAGUCCGUGAGGACGCGGGUUCGAUCCCUGGCCUCGCUCAGCGGGUUAAGGAUCUGGCAUUGCUACGAGCUGUGGUAUAGGUCGCAGACGUGGCUCAGAUCCUGCGUGGCUGUGGCUGAGGUGCAGGCCAGUGGCUGUAGCUCCGAUUUGACCCCUAACCUGGGAACCUCCAUAUGCUGCAGGUGUGGCCCUACAAAGACAAAAAAAA